GCCACUGCUAUUGGGGUUCGGCUAAGCCACGCGAGUGGAGGGCGUCCCGCAAGGGAUGGCCCCGCAGACGGCUCAGUAACACGUCGUCAACCCACCUUAGGGUGGGGGACAACCUCGGGAAACUGAGGAUAAUCCCCCAUAGGCGGGGGAGGCUGGAAUGCGCCCCCGCUGAAAGCUCAGGCGCCCUAGGACGGGACGGCGGCCUACCAGGUAGUUGGUGGUGUGACG
RNAcentral lists this ribosomal RNA (228 nucleotides) under uncultured archaeon. Its description in RNAcentral is "partial 16S ribosomal RNA". It matches the Rfam family "Archaeal small subunit ribosomal RNA", at positions 23 to 246 of the family's 1478-position model. The record is from RNAcentral.